UAACCAGGAUUCCCCUAGUAACGGCGAGUGAAGAGGGAAUAGCCCAGCACCGAAGCCUGCGGUAGGUUUACUGCUAGGCAAUGUGGUGUUUGGGUCGACUCGCGGGAUUGCCACUCCACUCGAAGUCCAGCACUGAGUAUGGUUCCCUGGAUUUGGCCCAGAGAGGGUGAAAGGCCCGUGCGAGUGGAGGUUCAGACAUGUGAGGCAAUUCACCAGGUCGACCUUCGAGUCGGGUUGUUUGGGAAUGCAGCCCAAAGUGGGUGGUAAACUCCAUCCAAGGCUAAAUACAAGCACGAGUCCGAUAGCGAACAAGUACCGUGAGGGAAAGUUGAAAAGUACUUUGAAGAGAGAGUAAACAGUACGUGAAACCGCAUAGAGGUAAACGGGUGGCGUCAAGCUGCAAGCCUAGAGGAUUCAGUUGAUCGGUGUGUAUGCGCGCCUGGCGUGUCUGUCGGACGGACAGUCCACUGCGAAAUGGUGGGCCUGCCUUUCUUCUUGGGGGGCAGGAUCGGUGUUCCGGGUGGUUGCCGGUGCCGGCUGUUCUGUCUGUCUGCGCAGUGUGGAUGGACCGGUCAAUGCACUUCCUCUAUUUGGUGAGCACCACGACUGGUGGAACUGCCAGUCUGCCAUAGUCAAGUCGGAUUUGGUCGGUGGCUCUCCUCGUCGUCUUGGUGUGGGGGGGUCAUCGGCUGAGUUUCGAUCACAGGCGAACUCAGUGAGCGGCGCGUGUAGGCAUUCGCUUGCACACGUGUUAUCGAGCACUGGUCGUCAACGGGUCUGCCUGUCGGUUGUUGUGUACAGUCGCCGGCGGGUGUCCUGGUGGGCUAUGGUGGUAUGAAUAACUGUGCAGGGCACCAGAGUUGUCGGUCUCUAGUUUCCGUCUCGUGCGCACACUGUAUGUGGGCGUGGGGUGUUGCUGUAGGCUGCCAAUUGCUGGGUCUGAUCGUCGUGUUGCCUGCGCAAAGUGGGCCCGGCGGUGGUCUGGUGUUGGGUGGUCUGCAUUUGUGUGUGAUG
This 1014-nucleotide ribosomal RNA is filed under the name Spirometra erinaceieuropaei. RNAcentral describes it as "partial large subunit ribosomal RNA". It matches the Rfam family "Eukaryotic large subunit ribosomal RNA", at positions 66 to 629 of the family's 3401-position model. Lineage: Eukaryota; Metazoa; Platyhelminthes; Cestoda; Diphyllobothriidea; Diphyllobothriidae. The record is from RNAcentral.